This 235-nucleotide ribosomal RNA is filed under the name uncultured bacterium. Its description in RNAcentral is "partial 16S ribosomal RNA". It matches the Rfam family "Bacterial small subunit ribosomal RNA", at positions 102 to 334 of the family's 1533-position model. The record is from RNAcentral.
ACGGGUGAGUAACACGUAUGCAAUCCACCUGUAACAGGGGAUAACCCGGAGAAAUCCGGACUAAUACCCCAUAAUAUGGGCGCUCCGCAUGGAGAGUUCAUUAAAGAGAGCAAUUUUGGUUACAGACGAGCAUGCGCUCCAUUAGCCAGUUGGCGGGGUAACGGCCCACCAAGGCGACGAUCGGUAGCCGGACUGAGAGGUUGAACGGCCACAUUGGGACUGAGACACGGCCCAG